RNAcentral lists this long non-coding RNA (709 nucleotides) under Marmota monax (woodchuck). The record is from RNAcentral. Lineage: Eukaryota; Metazoa; Chordata; Mammalia; Rodentia; Sciuridae.
AAAAAAAAAAGAUUCUGUCCACUAGGGUGCAACUUGUAUUUUAUUAUUAGCAGGACAGGAACUAGUGCAAGAACUCACUGCUCCAAGGGAGGUCCUACCUCAGUGACAGCAAACCCAGCAGAUGAAAGCCACUGCUAUUUGACACUAGGAUUAUUGGCUGGGACACGAUUCGCACCCUUGGAUUUAGGCCCUCUGAGUCCUCGGCUUUCUGCCCACGGAAGGAUGGCUUUGAAGGGAAUAGUUCUGAGACACCACAAAAAUCCACAAAACUUAAGAUCAUCUGCUUUACCAAUAUCCAGUAUGCUGCUGUUGCACUCACCCUAAAGACCAUAGUGGUGCAAGAUAAAUGUGUGCAGGAUGUCUUAAAAGCUGCUGAACCAUCUCUCUUGUGGCUGAAGUCAUAACACAUUUGACAAACACUGAAAAUCAGGCCUUUUGCUUUAUUUUUUUCAAAGAACUGCUGCUUGUUAAUUUCUAUGGUAUAAAUUUCUCCACUGUGGUCAAUUUCACCCUACCCAUGGGAUGUGAAUAUGACCAGCUCAGAGCAUCUGCUGUCUGGCUCAGGAACACCACAAGCCUGUCUCCUGCACUUACCACAGUCUCCUUCCCUCCCUCACCUCAGAGCCAUGUUCCUGCAAAAACACCUGCCCACCUUAUGCAGGGGCAGGUCCCAGGAGACAGAGGCCCCUCCACAUUGCUGGGGACAUCC